AUUGAACGCUGGCGGUAUGCUUAACACAUGCAAGUCGAACGGUAGCAGGCCUUCGGGCGCUGACGAGUGGCGGACGGGUGAGUAACGCGUAGGAAUCUGCCUAGUAGUGGGGGACAACUUAUGGAAACGUAAGCUAAUACCGCAUACGCCCUACGGGGGAAAGCAGGGGAUCUUCGGACCUUGCGCUAUUAGAUGAGCCUGCGUUGGAUUAGCUAGUUGGUGGGGUAAAGGCCUACCAAGGCGACGAUCCAUAGCUGGUCUGAGAGGACGAUCAGCCACACUGGGACUGAGACACGGCCCAGACUCCUACGGGAGGCAGCAGUGGGGAAUAUUGGACAAUGGGCGAAAGCCUGAUCCAGCAAUACCGCGUGUGUGAAGAAGGCCUGAGGGUUGUAAAGCACUUUCAAUAGGGAGGAAUACCCAUUGGCUAAUACCCAGUGGACU
This 444-nucleotide ribosomal RNA is filed under the name uncultured Gammaproteobacteria bacterium. Its description in RNAcentral is "bacterial SSU rRNA". It matches the Rfam family "Bacterial small subunit ribosomal RNA", at positions 30 to 470 of the family's 1533-position model. The record is from RNAcentral. Lineage: Bacteria; Pseudomonadati; Pseudomonadota; Gammaproteobacteria.